UAGUUGACAGUUUUGUAUUGAAAA
Molecule: small nuclear RNA, 24 nt
Filed under: Arabidopsis thaliana (thale cress)
Lineage: Eukaryota; Viridiplantae; Streptophyta; Magnoliopsida; Brassicales; Brassicaceae
Description: snRNA_09289
Source: RNAcentral